UGCGUAGGCGGUCCCGCAAGUCCGCUGUGAAAUCCCCGGGCUUAACCUGGGAAUGGCAGUGGAAACUAGGGGACUUGAAUCUGGCAGAGGGGGGUGGAAUGCCACGUGUAGCAGUGAAAUGCGUAGAGAUGUGGCGGAACACCGAUGGCGAAGGCAGCCCCCUGGGCUGAGAUUGACGCUCAGGCACGAAAGCGUGGGGAGCAAACAGAAUUAGAUACCCUGGUAGUCCACGCCCUAAACGAUGAUCACUAGGUGUUGGGGAAGCGAUUUCUCAGUACCGCAGCUAACGCGUGAAGUGAUCCGCCUGGGGAGUACGGUCGCAAGAUUAAA
RNAcentral lists this ribosomal RNA (330 nucleotides) under uncultured bacterium. Its description in RNAcentral is "bacterial SSU rRNA". It matches the Rfam family "Bacterial small subunit ribosomal RNA", at positions 568 to 898 of the family's 1533-position model. The record is from RNAcentral.